UACGGAGGGUGCAAGCGUUAUCCGGAUUCACUGGGUUUAAAGGGUGCGUAGGUGGGCAGGUAAGUCAGUGGUGAAAUCUCCGGGCUUAACCCGGAAACUGCCAUUGAUACUAUCGGUCUUGAAUACCGUGGAGGUGAGCGGAAUAUGUCAUGUAGCGGUGAAAUGCUUAGAUAUGACAUAGAACACCAAUUGCGAAGGCAGCUCACUACACGAAUAUUGACACUGAGGCACGAAAGCGUGGGGAUCAAACAGG
This 253-nucleotide ribosomal RNA is filed under the name uncultured bacterium. Its description in RNAcentral is "partial 16S ribosomal RNA". It matches the Rfam family "Bacterial small subunit ribosomal RNA", at positions 524 to 776 of the family's 1533-position model. The record is from RNAcentral.